UACAGUAUACAACAGAGCUCAACAGUCCCACCCCUCCUCCGAGAGACCAUGGGUUCCAGAAGUAAAUUUCCCAUUCAUUUCUCCCAUGGACGUCUGGAAAAAUCUGUAGCCUACAUAAAGAGUUUUA
Etheostoma cragini (Arkansas darter) is the source of this 127-nucleotide long non-coding RNA. RefSeq lists it as uncharacterized. Lineage: Eukaryota; Metazoa; Chordata; Actinopteri; Perciformes; Percidae. The record is from RefSeq and is a predicted model, not a curated record. The transcript has 3 exons.